This 74-nucleotide transfer RNA is filed under the name Phyllodactylus nocticolus. Its description in RNAcentral is "tRNA-Val". Lineage: Eukaryota; Metazoa; Chordata; Lepidosauria; Squamata; Phyllodactylidae. The record is from RNAcentral.
CAAGGGGUAGCUUACACCCAACCCAAAAGCACCUAGCUUACACCUAGACGACGCGGCUCUCCUGCCCCCUUGAG